Non-coding RNA from Podarcis lilfordi (Lilford's wall lizard), 87 nucleotides. The record is from the annotation of a GenBank genome assembly. Lineage: Eukaryota; Metazoa; Chordata; Lepidosauria; Squamata; Lacertidae.
GCACUAAGGGCCUGACCCAAAGCCUACUGACGUCAAUAGAAAAACCUCCCACUCACUCUGUAUGGCUUUGGAUCAGGCCAGAUAAGU